This 207-nucleotide ribosomal RNA is filed under the name uncultured bacterium. RNAcentral describes it as "partial 16S ribosomal RNA". It matches the Rfam family "Bacterial small subunit ribosomal RNA", at positions 568 to 774 of the family's 1533-position model. The record is from RNAcentral.
UGCGUAGGUGGCAGAUCAAGUCUGGAGUAAAAGGUAUGGGCUCAACCCGUACUGGCUCUGGAAACUGAUCAGCUAGAGAACAGAAGAGGACGGCGGAACUCCAUGUGUAGCGGUAAAAUGCGUAGAUAUAUGGAAGAACACCGGUGGCGAAGGCGGCCGUCUGGUCUGGAUUCUGACACUGAGGCACGAAAGCGUGGGGAGCAAAUA